RNAcentral lists this ribosomal RNA (819 nucleotides) under uncultured eukaryote. RNAcentral's name for it is "SSU rRNA". It matches the Rfam family "Eukaryotic small subunit ribosomal RNA", at positions 629 to 1426 of the family's 1831-position model. The record is from RNAcentral.
CGGUGUUUAACUGGCGUGAUGUGGGACGUCCUACCGGUGGGCUUAGCCUCGCGAGGGGCGGCCCAACUAAUAUCCCGUCGCGGUGCUCUUUACUGAGUGUCGAGUCGGGCCGGUACGUUUACUUUGAACAAAUUAGAGUGCUUAAGGCAGGCUAUCCUCGCCUAAAUACUGCGUGCAUGGAAUAAUGGAAUAGGACCUCGGUUCUAUUUUGUUGGUUUUCGGAACCCCGAGGUAAUGAUUAAUAGGGACGGAUGGGGGCAUUCGCAUUGCGACGUUAGAGGUGAAAUUCUUGGAUCGUCGCAAGACGGACAGAAGCGAAAGCAUUUGCCAAAAAUGUUUUCAUUAAUCAAGAACGAAAGUUAGAGGUUCGAAGGCGAUCAGAUACCGCCCUAGUUCUAACCAUAAACGAUGCCAGCUAGCGAUCCGCCGAAGUUCCUCCGAUGACUCGGCGGGCAGCUUCCGGGAAACCAAAGCUUUUGGGUUCCGGGGGAAGUAUGGUUGCAAAGCUGAAACUUAAAGGAAUUGACGGAAGGGCACCACCAGGAGUGGAGCCUGCGGCUUAAUUUGACUCAACACGGGAAACCUCACCAGGCCCAGACACCGGAAGGAUUGACAGAUUGAUAGCUCUUUCUUGAUUCGGUGGGUGGUGGUGCAUGGCCGUUCUUAGUUGGUGGAGCGAUUUGUCUGGUUAAUUCCGAUAACGAACGAGACUCUAGCCUGCUAAAUAGGCGUACCUUAUGGUAUCGCGAAGGCCCCCGGCUUCGGCCGGUGGGUUUUUACUACCAACGUACAAACAAAUCUUCUUAGAGGGACAGGCGG